This 447-nucleotide ribosomal RNA is filed under the name uncultured bacterium. Its description in RNAcentral is "partial 16S ribosomal RNA". It matches the Rfam family "Bacterial small subunit ribosomal RNA", at positions 29 to 523 of the family's 1533-position model. The record is from RNAcentral.
AACGAACGCUGGCGGCAGGCUUAACACAUGCAAGUCGAGCGCCCCGCAAGGGGAGCGGCAGACGGGUGAGUAACACGUGGGAACAUACCCAUCUCUGCGGAACAACUACGGGAAACUGGAGCUAAUACCGCAUACGCCCUUAGGGGGAAAGAUUUAUCGGAGAUGGAUUGGCCCGCGUUGGAUUAGCUAGUUGGUGGGGUAAAGGCCUACCAAGGCGACGAUCCAUAGCUGGUCUGAGAGGAUGAUCAGCCACAUUGGGACUGAGACACGGCCCAAACUCCUACAGGAGGCAGCAGUGGGGAAUAUUGGACAAUGGGCGCAAGCCUGAUCCAGCCAUGCCGCGUGAGUGAUGAAGGCCUUAGGGUUGUAAAGCUCUUUCACCGACGAAGAUAAUGACGGUAGUCGGAGAAGAAGCCCCGGCUAAACUCGUGCCAGCAGCCGCUGUAA